Molecule: ribosomal RNA, 291 nt
Filed under: uncultured bacterium
Lineage: Bacteria
Description: partial 16S ribosomal RNA
Rfam family: Bacterial small subunit ribosomal RNA
Source: RNAcentral
GUGGAUUAGAUACCCUGGUAGUCCACGCUGUAAACGUUGCGAACUAGGUGUCGGGGGUAUUCACCCCUCCGGUGCCGAAGCUAACGUCUUAAGUUCGCCGCCUGGGAAGUACGGCCGCAAGGCUAAAACUCAAAGGAAUUGACGGGGGCCCGCACAAGCGGUGGAGCAUGUGGUUCAAUUCGAUGCAACGCGAAGAACCUUACCUGGGCUUGACAUCCCGAGAAUCCCCCAGAAAUGGGGGAGUGCCCGUAAGGGAACUCGGAGACAGGUGCUGCACGGUCGUCGCCAACU